UACGGAGGGUGCAAGCGUUGUUCGGAAUCAUUGGGCGUAAAGAGCACGUAGGCGGUCUUUUAAGUCGGGUGUGAAAUCCCUCAGCUUAACUGAGGAAGUGCAUUCGAAACUGGAGGACUUGAAUACUCAAGAGGGUCUCGGAAUUCCCGGUGUAGAGGUGAAAUUCGUAGAUAUCGGGAGGAACACCAGUGGCGAAGGCGGAGACCUGGGGAGAUAUUGACGCUGAGGAGCGAAAGCGUGGGGAGCAAACAGG
This 253-nucleotide ribosomal RNA is filed under the name uncultured bacterium. RNAcentral describes it as "partial 16S ribosomal RNA". It matches the Rfam family "Bacterial small subunit ribosomal RNA", at positions 524 to 776 of the family's 1533-position model. The record is from RNAcentral.